This 460-nucleotide ribosomal RNA is filed under the name uncultured bacterium. RNAcentral describes it as "partial 16S ribosomal RNA". It matches the Rfam family "Bacterial small subunit ribosomal RNA", at positions 338 to 795 of the family's 1533-position model. The record is from RNAcentral.
CCUACGGGAGGCAGCAGUGAGGAAUAUUGGUCAAUGGGCGCGAGCCUGACCCAGCCAAGUCGCGUGAAGGAAGACUGCCCUACGGGUGGUAAACUUCUUUUAUAAAGAAAUAAAGUGAGGCGCGUGUGCAUUUUUGUAUGUACUUUAUGAAUAAGGAUCGGCUAACUCCAGGCCAGCAGCCGCCGUCAUACGGAGGCUCCGAGCGUUAGCCGGAUUUGUUGGGUUUAAAGGGAGCGUAGAUGGGUUGUUAAGUCAGUUGUGAAAGUUUGGGGCUCAACCGUAAAAUUGCAAUUGAUACUGGCAGUCUUGAGUACAGUUGAGGUAGGCGGAAUUCGUGGUGUAGCGGUGAAAUGCUUAGAUAUCACGAAGAACUCCGAUGGCGAAGGCAGCUUACUAAACUGCCACUGACAUUGAUGCUCGAAAGUGUGGGUAUCAAACAGGAUUAGAUACCCGGGUAGUC